Molecule: ribosomal RNA, 457 nt
Filed under: Bacillus cereus
Lineage: Bacteria; Bacillati; Bacillota; Bacilli; Caryophanales; Bacillaceae
Description: bacterial SSU rRNA
Rfam family: Bacterial small subunit ribosomal RNA
Source: RNAcentral
UUUAUUGGAGAGUUUGAUCCUGGCUCAGGAUGAACGCUGGCGGCGUGCCUAAUACAUGCAAGUCGAGCGAAUGGAUUAAGAGCUUGCUCUUAUGAAGUUAGCGGCGGACGGGUGAGUAACACGUGGGUAACCUGCCCAUAAGACUGGGAUAACUCCGGGAAACCGGGGCUAAUACCGGAUAAUAUUUUGGACCUCAUGGUUCAAAAUUGAAAGGCGGCUUCGGCUGUCACUUAUGGAUGGACCCGCGUCGCAUUAGCUAGUUGGUGAGGUAACGGCUCACCAAGGCAACGAUGCGUAGCCGACCUGAGAGGGUGAUCGGCCACACUGGGACUGAGACACGGCCCAGACUCCUACGGGAGGCAGCAGUAGGGAAUCUUCCGCAAUGGACGAAAGUCUGACGGAGCAACGCCGCGUGAGUGAUGAAGGCUUUCGGGUCGUAAAACUCUGUUGUUAGGGA